GCGACUUGAUCGGUGGAGUUGGAAACUUCGAGCGAGUGGCUCGGACUGUCCAAUGGGCUGCAAUCAACAGGGAUCGUUCCAAACAUAGAGAUCAGGUUGAUGGCGCCUGGUGGCUACUGUUCGAUAGGGGUCGGUCAGACGUGACAGCCAGGUUCGACGGUGCGGUUGGAAGACGUCGUGAAUAAAGAUGCUUCGACUCGUAGUCAGAUUGAUGAGAUUUUGAUCUUGAUCGGAGUGAUCCAUGCUGGAGUAGUAACGAUGAUUGCGUAGAAUACGGUGAACUCAACGUGUUUUGAUGGAGA
Molecule: long non-coding RNA, 302 nt
Filed under: Sorghum bicolor (sorghum)
Lineage: Eukaryota; Viridiplantae; Streptophyta; Magnoliopsida; Poales; Poaceae
Description: long non-coding RNA (SBIC_LNC011171)
Source: RNAcentral